GCGCUGGUAGCUCAGUGGUAGAGCGAGGGCCUUUUAAGCCCGAGGUCGUGGGUCCGAUCCCCACCCAGCGCACCA
Molecule: transfer RNA, 75 nt
Filed under: Candidatus Uhrbacteria bacterium RIFOXYB12_FULL_58_10
Lineage: Bacteria; Candidatus Uhriibacteriota
Also listed under: 2 other names
Description: tRNA-Lys
Rfam family: tRNA
About the family: Transfer RNA (tRNA) molecules are approximately 80 nucleotides in length. Their secondary structure includes four short double-helical elements and three loops (D, anti-codon, and T loops). Further hydrogen bonds mediate the characteristic L-shaped molecular structure. tRNAs have two regions of fundamental functional importance: the anti-codon, which is responsible for specific mRNA codon recognition, and the 3' end, to which the tRNAs corresponding amino acid is attached (by aminoacyl-tRNA synthetases). tRNAs cope with the degeneracy of the genetic code in two manners: having more than one tRNA (with a specific anti-codon) for a particular amino acid; and 'wobble' base-pairing, i.e. permitting non-standard base-pairing at the 3rd anti-codon position.
Source: RNAcentral